This 262-nucleotide ribosomal RNA is filed under the name uncultured bacterium. RNAcentral describes it as "partial 16S ribosomal RNA". It matches the Rfam family "Bacterial small subunit ribosomal RNA", at positions 524 to 785 of the family's 1533-position model. The record is from RNAcentral.
UACGACGGGUGCAAGCGUUAAUCGGAAUUACUGGGCGUAAAGCGCGCGUAGGUGGUUCGUUAAGUUGGAUGUGAAAGCCCCGGGCUCAACCUGGGAACUGCAUCCAAAACUGGCGAGCUAGAGUACGGUAGAGGGUGGUGUAAUUUCCUGUGGAGCGGUGACAUGCGUAGAUAUAGGAAGGAACACCAGUGGCGAAGUCGACCACCUUGACUGAUACUGACACUGAGGUGCGAAAGCGUGGGGAUCAAACAGGAUUAGAUAC